Molecule: non-coding RNA, 1408 nt
Organism: Monodelphis domestica (gray short-tailed opossum)
Lineage: Eukaryota; Metazoa; Chordata; Mammalia; Didelphimorphia; Didelphidae
Source: RefSeq, a predicted model, not a curated record
UUAUGGAUACUGGAUUUAUCACCAGAUUCAUCAAGGUCACAUGUUGCCUAAACGGCCUUUUGUGCCUUUUUGCCUUUGUUAAUUGACACAUAGAUGAUGAAUGUUCUCCAUCAAACUGAUUACAACCUGUAUCAAUAACUUUUGCAAAAGUUAUGAGCCCUUGUGAUUUUAGAGAUUUUGGUAUUUCUUUGAAUGUGCAUUAACUGCUAUACUACAGUUUUGCAAAGCCAUUACUUGGUGAAAAAUCAUUUCCACUCACACUGUGAACCAUGGCCAAGUUAAGAAGAAAAUGGAUGGUAUUUUUGAGUGAGAAACCUUUAUAUUCUGCCUCUCCAUGGCAAGCACAGUGUGUUGCUAAACACGAACUAUGUAUUUUUUAUUCUUUCUUAAAAUUUUUUUAUUGUUCUUCCUUGUAAGUUCAAUAGGGUAUUUGAGUUUUCUUUCUUCUCUCAUUUUUUUGCACUUGAACCACAUUACCAAUAUUAAUGGGUUUUUGAUUUUGCACUAACAUAAUAUAAGUUUAUAAUAUCCAUUAUCCCUAAUAGUAAUACAUACCCAAAAGCUUUAGACUAUGGAAACCUGCCAUUGAUUGUUAAAUAUUAUUAGACUUUGGUUAAUGAUUAUGUCUGAUUCCAGGAGAAGAGACCACAAAAGAGCCUUUAUAGAAUGCCAAGAAGCACAAGGUCAAAGGAGACCAACCAAUCCUAUUGGUAUUAAUGAGAAUCUGUGCCAAGACCGAGAACUUGUUUGGUUGCAGUUGUUUGACAUACAUCAGAAGCAGGUCUUCCCCAUGCCACAUUCUGACAAGCACCUAAAUUUGGCUAUCAUCUUGGCUCCCAUAUCCCUGAGAACAAAGGAAAACAGCCAACUCAGGAAUAUCUUUUUGGUGAUCAGUUGCAAAGCAUAAAAUGCCCAAAUAUGCAAGUUAAAAAAGCUCUUGGAGAUGAAGGAAGGCCAUGACUGAAGGUUUGCGAGGGUGAAGACAUUCUGGAAAUUAAGGCAAAUCUCAUGGCUAAAUGGACAUUGAAAAGCAAGAACAUGGAGGACAGAUGAAAUGCAAUAAAGAAUGUCUGAUUCAAUGAGAAAUAAAUUGAAAAAAUAAAAUCUACUAACACAAACCACUUGAUGUGAGGCUUAUUCAAAAUCAGGCAUUCCCAUAGUACAGAACAGCAGCCAAAUAACCACGUUGGGGCCCAAAUGAACGUUCCCAGAAAAGGUCAUGUGCAUUUUUGUGGAUAAAGAGGGCAGUUUCUGGAGCUGUAACCUCUUUUUACUAAAAACUUGACAGGGAGCACCAUUUUCACCGUACGCUAAAUGCAAUCAUCCAGCCAAGUUCUAAAAUGAGAAAUGUUCUUCUUGGCAAGGCAAAUGUUGCUGGGCGCUUAUUGCUUUUUUAGAUUGAGGUUUU